RNAcentral lists this unclassified non-coding RNA (386 nucleotides) under uncultured Phycisphaeraceae bacterium. RNAcentral describes it as "contains 16S-23S intergenic spacer region". Lineage: Bacteria; Pseudomonadati; Planctomycetota; Phycisphaerae; Phycisphaerales; Phycisphaeraceae. The record is from RNAcentral.
UCCGGUUUAACACCGGCAGUCUCGCUAGAGUCCCCGGCAUGACCCGUUGGCAACUAGCGAUAGGGGUUUCGCUCGUUAAGCGACUUAACGCGACACUUCACAGCACGAGCUGACGACAGCCAUGCAGCACCUGUGCACGUUCCACUACGAGAGUGUCGGUCGUCUUUCAACGACCUAAUCCGUGCAUGUCAAGCCCAGGAUAAGGUUCUUCGCGUUGCUUCGAAUUGAGCCACAUGCUCCACCGCUUGUGUGAGCCCCCGUCAAUUCCUUUGAGUUUUAGCCUUGCGACCGUACUCCCCAGGCGGUGCACUCAUCGUUUUUACUUCGACCGAGAAAGGCGUCAGUACCUCCCUCGAUCUCGUGCACAUCGUUUACGGCGUGGACUA